Molecule: ribosomal RNA, 550 nt
Filed under: uncultured bacterium
Lineage: Bacteria
Description: bacterial SSU rRNA
Rfam family: Bacterial small subunit ribosomal RNA
Source: RNAcentral
UAGGGAAUCUUCGGCAAUGGGGGGAACCCUGACCGAGCAACGCCGCGUGAGUGAAGAAGGUUUUCGGAUCGUAAAGCUCUGUUGUAAGAGAAGAACGGGUGUGAGAGUGGAAAGUUCACACUGUGACGGUAUCCUACCAGAAAGGGACGGCUAACUACGUGCCAGCAGCCGCGGUAAUACGUAGGUCCCGAGCGUUGUCCGGAUUUAUUGGGCGUAAAGCGAGCGCAGGCGGUUAGAUAAGUCUGAAGUUAAAGGCUGUGGCUUAACCAUAGUAUGCUUUGGAAACUGUUUAACUUGAGUGCAGAAGGGGAGAGUGGAAUUCCAUGUGUAGCGGUGAAAUGCGUAGAUAUAUGGAGGAACACCGGUGGCGAAAGCGGCUCUCUGGUCUGUAACUGACGCUGAGGCUCGAAAGCGUGGGGAGCAAACAGGAUUAGAUACCCUGGUAGUCCACGCCGUAAACGAUGAGUGCUAGGUGUUAGGCCCUUUCCGGGGCUUAGUGCCGCAGCUAACGCAUUAAGCACUCCGCCUGGGGAGUACGACCGCAAGGUUG